UUCUAGUAGUGUGAAUUGAUUGAAUUUGACUUGAUUUUUUGUUUAUUUUUAUUUUUUUUCUAAUAAAUGUUAUCUAGGGUUUUGUGCUUAAGUUUUGCAGAUUGCAGUUUGAUCAAGAAUUUGAUUAUAUGGGCACUCAAUUUCAUCAAAAUGAUUUCAAUCACUGAUGGGACCCUCAUUCAAAUAUAUAUCGUAACCACUUAGGGCAUCAGUCCUCUUCGCGAAAAGAAACGUUAGGGGAAGCCAAAUAACGUUUACGGCAGGAACUAUUCUCUGUACCAAAAGAAACGUUGUGGGAAGUCCAACAAUUCUUGCGACAACAUGUAUUCUCUGGACCAAAAGAAACGUUGGGGGAAGCCCAACAACGUUUACAACAAAAACAAUCUCCUGUACUCAAAGAAACAUUAGGGGAAGCUCAAGAACGUUUAUUGCAGGAACAACACUCUC
This 447-nucleotide long non-coding RNA is filed under the name Vigna radiata. RNAcentral describes it as "long non-coding RNA (VRAD_LNC000815)". The record is from RNAcentral. Lineage: Eukaryota; Viridiplantae; Streptophyta; Magnoliopsida; Fabales; Fabaceae.